AGUGAACGCUGGCGGUAGGCCUAACACAUGCAAGUCGAACGGCAGCACAGUAAGAGCUUGCUCUUACGGGUGGCGAGUGGCGGACGGGCGAGGAAUACAUCGGAAUCUACUUUUUCGUGGGGGACAACGUAGGGAAACUUACGCUAAUACCGCAUACGACCUACGGGUGAAAGCAGGGGAUCUUCGGACCUUGCGCGACUGAAUGAGCCGAUGUCGGAUUAGCUAGUUGGCGGGGUAAAGGCCCACCAAGGCGACGAUCCGUAGCUGGUCUGAGAGGAUGAUCAGCCACACUGGAACUGAGACACGGUCCAGACUCCUACGGGAGGCAGCAGUGGGGAAUAUUGGACAAUGGGCGCAAGCCUGAUCCAGCCAUACCGCGUGGGUGAAGAAGGCCUUCGGGUUGUAAAGCCCUUUUGUUGGGAAAGAAAAGCAGCAGGUUAAUACCCCGCUGUUCUGACGGUACCCAAAGAAUAAGCACCGGCUAACUUCGUG
RNAcentral lists this ribosomal RNA (492 nucleotides) under uncultured bacterium. Its description in RNAcentral is "partial 16S ribosomal RNA". It matches the Rfam family "Bacterial small subunit ribosomal RNA", at positions 29 to 507 of the family's 1533-position model. The record is from RNAcentral.